Molecule: ribosomal RNA, 498 nt
Filed under: uncultured bacterium
Lineage: Bacteria
Description: bacterial SSU rRNA
Rfam family: Bacterial small subunit ribosomal RNA
Source: RNAcentral
AGAGUUUGAUUAUGGCUCAGAACGAACGCUGGUGGCGUGUCUUAUACAUGCAAGUCGAGCGAGGCAGCAAUGCCGAGCGGCGAACGGGUGAGUAACGCGUAAGCAAUCUGCCCCAUAUCAGGAAAUACCCGUGCCAACGCGCGGUUAAUGUCCAGGAGAGUGGCCCUCCGCAUGGAGGGUUGACUAGAGAUUUAUCGGUAUGGGAUGAGCUUGCGUCCGAUUAGCUAGUUGGCGGGGCAACGGCCCACCAAGGCGACGAUCGGUAGCCGGCCUGAGAGGGUGAUCGGCCACAUUGGGACUGAGAUACGGCCCAGACUCCUACGGGAGGCAGCAGUAGGGAAUAUUGCACAAUGGGGGAAACCCUGAUGCAGCAACGCCACGUGUGGGAAGAAGCAUUUCGGUGUGUAAACCACUGUCAUGAGGGAAUAAGGCCCGCCUUCGGACGGGAUUGAAUGUACCUUGAGAGGAAGCACCGGCAAACUUCGUGCCAGCCGCCGC